RNAcentral lists this long non-coding RNA (243 nucleotides) under Lathyrus oleraceus (garden pea). RNAcentral's name for it is "Pisum sativum (pea) long non-coding RNA (PSAT_LNC039539)". The record is from RNAcentral. Lineage: Eukaryota; Viridiplantae; Streptophyta; Magnoliopsida; Fabales; Fabaceae.
GUUGCUUCCCCAGAGGAAUUUUGCUUGGGUGUUUCCCCAGCAAGGUCCCUUAGUGGAUUCUCUCAGUCGGAGACCGGAUUUUUUAUCCGAAGUAUCCGUUACGGAUAAGUUUUUGCUGUAUCGGCAUAUUCCCCAAUACAUGCAUUUUGAGUCAGCUCGAGUCUUUCCAUGGAUUUAUUUCAUGGAUUCCCUUCGUGUCUCUCAACAAGUUUCAAGUCGUGACCUGCUCACGCAUUUUUAUCC